RNAcentral lists this unclassified non-coding RNA (306 nucleotides) under Hevea brasiliensis (rubber tree). Lineage: Eukaryota; Viridiplantae; Streptophyta; Magnoliopsida; Malpighiales; Euphorbiaceae. The record is from RNAcentral.
CAUAAGUAACUCGGGUUCUCCUCCCCAAACAUGUGGUUGGCGCAUGCGUCUAACAUACUGACCGAAGUCACCUUCAAUAAACCGUUCAGUGUCCAAACGCCUCUUCAUCAGCUCAUCCGCAACGUUUUCUCUGAGCUCGUCUGCAAGCUCUUUUUGAAGAACUUCGCUUGGAGCCGGCUUCCCCGAUCUGAGACAAGCACCAUGAACCACUGAUCGAAACAAACAUCUUCCAUCACCAGCAAUUCAGAAUGUGAGAACGAUAAAAGAGUAUGCCCUAACGUUGCUAUCACGGAGAAUCGAAUCCGG